This 460-nucleotide ribosomal RNA is filed under the name uncultured bacterium. RNAcentral describes it as "partial 16S ribosomal RNA". It matches the Rfam family "Bacterial small subunit ribosomal RNA", at positions 338 to 795 of the family's 1533-position model. The record is from RNAcentral.
CCUACGGGUGGCAGCAGUGAGGAAUAUUGGUCAAUGGGCGCGAGCCUGAACCAGCCAAGUCGCGUGAGGGAAGACGGCCCUACGGGUUGUAAACCUCUUUUGCCGGGGAGCAACGGGCGCCACGUGUGGCGCCACUGAGAGUACCCGGAGAAAAAGCAUCGGCUAACUCCGUGCCAGCUGCCGCGGUAAUACGGAGGAUGCGAGCGUUAUCCGGUUUUAUUGGGGUUAAAGGGUGCGCAGGCGGAGCGUUAAGUCAGUGGUCAAAUUGAGGGGCUCAACCUCUUCCCGCCAGUGAAACUGGCGCUCUUGAGUGGAAGAGAGGUAUGCGGAAUGCGUGGUGUAGCGGUGAAAGGCAUAGAUAUCACGCAGAACCCCGAUUGCGAAGGCAGCAUGCCGGCUGCCUACUGACGCUGAAGCGCGAAAGCGUGGGGAUCGAACAGGAUUAGAUACCCCAGUAGUC